RNAcentral lists this ribosomal RNA (2924 nucleotides) under Escherichia coli. RNAcentral's name for it is "23S ribosomal RNA". It matches the Rfam family "Bacterial large subunit ribosomal RNA". The record is from RNAcentral. Lineage: Bacteria; Pseudomonadati; Pseudomonadota; Gammaproteobacteria; Enterobacterales; Enterobacteriaceae.
GGGUUGUGAGGUUAAGCGACUAAGCGUACACGGUGGAUGCCCUGGCAGUCAGAGGCGAUGAAGGACGUGCUAAUCUGCGAUAAGCGUCGGUAAGGUGAUAUGAACCGUUAUAACCGGCGAUUUCCGAAUGGGGAAACCCAGUGUGUUUCGACACACUAUCAUUAACUGAAUCCAUAGGUUAAUGAGGCGAACCGGGGGAACUGAAACAUCUAAGUACCCCGAGGAAAAGAAAUCAACCGAGAUUCCCCCAGUAGCGGCGAGCGAACGGGGAGCAGCCCAGAGCCUGAAUCAGUGUGUGUGUUAGUGGAAGCGUCUGGAAAGGCGCGCGAUACAGGGUGACAGCCCCGUACACAAAAAUGCACAUGCUGUGAGCUCGAUGAGUAGGGCGGGACACGUGGUAUCCUGUCUGAAUAUGGGGGGACCAUCCUCCAAGGCUAAAUACUCCUGACUGACCGAUAGUGAACCAGUACCGUGAGGGAAAGGCGAAAAGAACCCCGGCGAGGGGAGUGAAAAAGAACCUGAAACCGUGUACGUACAAGCAGUGGGAGCACGCUUAGGCGUGUGACUGCGUACCUUUUGUAUAAUGGGUCAGCGACUUAUAUUCUGUAGCAAGGUUAACCGAAUAGGGGAGCCGAAGGGAAACCGAGUCUUAACUGGGCGUUAAGUUGCAGGGUAUAGACCCGAAACCCGGUGAUCUAGCCAUGGGCAGGUUGAAGGUUGGGUAACACUAACUGGAGGACCGAACCGACUAAUGUUGAAAAAUUAGCGGAUGACUUGUGGCUGGGGGUGAAAGGCCAAUCAAACCGGGAGAUAGCUGGUUCUCCCCGAAAGCUAUUUAGGUAGCGCCUCGUGAAUUCAUCUCCGGGGGUAGAGCACUGUUUCGGCAAGGGGGUCAUCCCGACUUACCAACCCGAUGCAAACUGCGAAUACCGGAGAAUGUUAUCACGGGAGACACACGGCGGGUGCUAACGUCCGUCGUGAAGAGGGAAACAACCCAGACCGCCAGCUAAGGUCCCAAAGUCAUGGUUAAGUGGGAAACGAUGUGGGAAGGCCCAGACAGCCAGGAUGUUGGCUUAGAAGCAGCCAUCAUUUAAAGAAAGCGUAAUAGCUCACUGGUCGAGUCGGCCUGCGCGGAAGAUGUAACGGGGCUAAACCAUGCACCGAAGCUGCGGCAGCGACACUAUGUGUUGUUGGGUAGGGGAGCGUUCUGUAAGCCUGCGAAGGUGUGCUGUGAGGCAUGCUGGAGGUAUCAGAAGUGCGAAUGCUGACAUAAGUAACGAUAAAGCGGGUGAAAAGCCCGCUCGCCGGAAGACCAAGGGUUCCUGUCCAACGUUAAUCGGGGCAGGGUGAGUCGACCCCUAAGGCGAGGCCGAAAGGCGUAGUCGAUGGGAAACAGGUUAAUAUUCCUGUACUUGGUGUUACUGCGAAGGGGGGACGGAGAAGGCUAUGUUGGCCGGGCGACGGUUGUCCCGGUUUAAGCGUGUAGGCUGGUUUUCCAGGCAAAUCCGGAAAAUCAAGGCUGAGGCGUGAUGACGAGGCACUACGGUGCUGAAGCAACAAAUGCCCUGCUUCCAGGAAAAGCCUCUAAGCAUCAGGUAACAUCAAAUCGUACCCCAAACCGACACAGGUGGUCAGGUAGAGAAUACCAAGGCGCUUGAGAGAACUCGGGUGAAGGAACUAGGCAAAAUGGUGCCGUAACUUCGGGAGAAGGCACGCUGAUAUGUAGGUGAAGCGACUUGCUCGUGGAGCUGAAAUCAGUCGAAGAUACCAGCUGGCUGCAACUGUUUAUUAAAAACACAGCACUGUGCAAACACGAAAGUGGACGUAUACGGUGUGACGCCUGCCCGGUGCCGGAAGGUUAAUUGAUGGGGUCAGCGCAAGCGAAGCUCUUGAUCGAAGCCCCGGUAAACGGCGGCCGUAACUAUAACGGUCCUAAGGUAGCGAAAUUCCUUGUCGGGUAAGUUCCGACCUGCACGAAUGGCGUAAUGAUGGCCAGGCUGUCUCCACCCGAGACUCAGUGAAAUUGAACUCGCUGUGAAGAUGCAGUGUACCCGCGGCAAGACGGAAAGACCCCGUGAACCUUUACUAUAGCUUGACACUGAACAUUGAGCCUUGAUGUGUAGGAUAGGUGGGAGGCUUUGAAGUGUGGACGCCAGUCUGCAUGGAGCCGACCUUGAAAUACCACCCUUUAAUGUUUGAUGUUCUAACGUGGACCCGUAAUCCGGGUUGCGGACAGUGUCUGGUGGGUAGUUUGACUGGGGCGGUCUCCUCCUAAAGAGUAACGGAGGAGCACGAAGGUUGGCUAAUCCUGGUCGGACAUCAGGAGGUUAGUGCAAUGGCAUAAGCCAGCUUGACUGCGAGCGUGACGGCGCGAGCAGGUGCGAAAGCAGGUCAUAGUGAUCCGGUGGUUCUGAAUGGAAGGGCCAUCGCUCAACGGAUAAAAGGUACUCCGGGGAUAACAGGCUGAUACCGCCCAAGAGUUCAUAUCGACGGCGGUGUUUGGCACCUCGAUGUCGGCUCAUCACAUCCUGGGGCUGAAGUAGGUCCCAAGGGUAUGGCUGUUCGCCAUUUAAAGUGGUACGCGAGCUGGGUUUAGAACGUCGUGAGACAGUUCGGUCCCUAUCUGCCGUGGGCGCUGGAGAACUGAGGGGGGCUGCUCCUAGUACGAGAGGACCGGAGUGGACGCAUCACUGGUGUUCGGGUUGUCAUGCCAAUGGCACUGCCCGGUAGCUAAAUGCGGAAGAGAUAAGUGCUGAAAGCAUCUAAGCACGAAACUUGCCCCGAGAUGAGUUCUCCCUGACUCCUUGAGAGUCCUGAAGGAACGUUGAAGACGACGACGUUGAUAGGCCGGGUGUGUAAGCGCAGCGAUGCGUUGAGCUAACCGGUACUAAUGAACCGUGAGGCUUAACCUUACAACGCCGAAG